UUAAUAGACAGAAUUUUAAUGGA
RNAcentral lists this small nuclear RNA (23 nucleotides) under Arabidopsis thaliana (thale cress). Its description in RNAcentral is "snRNA_16348". Lineage: Eukaryota; Viridiplantae; Streptophyta; Magnoliopsida; Brassicales; Brassicaceae. The record is from RNAcentral.